GGCAGCGUUUCACAGGAAAGAGCGAGACCUCACGCAGCGCGCUGUUGACAGGAAGGGAGCCGCUCGAGGGGCGGGGAGGCCGCACGCUCCGCCCUCCCGCUCUCCGGGCCCGGGCCUGGCGCGGGGCCCCCGCCGCAGGGGAAGGGAGGGGCCGCGGUGGGCCCGGCGGAGGCGGGCCGCACCUCCAGGCGGCUCGGCCCAGGGGCGCGGGGCGGCCGCGGCCCGAGCGCGGUGCCGGGGCGGUGCGGCCGGGCGCUCUGGCGGCCGGAACGAAAUGAAGAGCGCAGCCCCCGGGCCCACCCCGCGGGAAGGGCCCCACGCGGCCGCCCGCCCACCCAUCCCUCCGCUGCCUUAGCGGGGCCUCCGCGGGGCCGCGGUCCGCCGCCGGCGAUUGGCCGGAGCGCUGCUCGCCGGGCAGGCCGCGGAGGGGGUGUGUCCCGCUCGGUGCCGGCCCCGGGGCCGCCGAUCCCUUACCUGGCGCCCGCCCCCACCGGGACAGGCAGGAGGCGCCUCCGCGGUGCGGCGGGACCCGGCCCCGAGCGCGGUGCUCCUCAGCCGCGGGAACAACCGCCCUGAGCGACGGUUAGGGCCGCGCGACGGUCCGGCCCCCUAGCCCGCCCCUUCCCGGCGCCAAGCGCGCUGAUUGGCCGGGAAGGGCUGUUUGAAUCGCUGCUGGCUCCACGCCAUUGGCUGCCGGGCGAUGGCGCGGUCCUCGCGCCCGGCGCCGUGCCGCUGACGGGAAGCCCGCCCCCUGACGGCGGCCGAUAACGGGCAGGAAGAGCGGGCAUUCAGGGCCGCCGCCGCCAUGGCAGCGCAGGGUAGGCCUCAGCCCGCCUGCGCCGCGCGGAGCCCGCCGCCGUCCGUAAACAACGAGGGCCUGGGCGGCGGGAGCGCCCCGCUGAGGCGGGGAUAGGGGGAGUUUACCUGUGAAAUAACUGCCCUGUGCCCAGCGUUCGGAUCUCGGGAAAAUAGCACAUCCUUAAUGAUUAAUAGACAGACUGUUUGUUUGUGUGGCAACUUCAAAGGCUCUCCACGUUGUCUGUGUUGUGACACAGGCUGACAAGACCUGACAAAAAAGGCAUCAAAGUGAGGUUAAAGUCUCAGUAAAAACAGAGCCAGGUUAAAAAGCAGAGCUAAAUAAGUGCAGUUGGAAUGAAUUUGUUCUUCAGCUGUACGAAGGCCAUCAGCUUUUAUCUGGCAGGUAUCUAACAACUUGCUAUAGGAAAAGCCUGGAUGAGAGAGCUGUUGGGCCAUUAGGAACUGUUUAUUAUCAACAGGUUCGCUGGCAGGAUAGAAAUAUGGAUACAUGGAUUGAACCUUCUCAGAUCAACUGUUAAAUGGAACAAAUUUGAAGCCAGUUAGACCAUCAUCAGCAGCAUACUGCCUCUGCACUGCUACAAGACAAGUUUUCUAUGUCUGCACAAAGACCUCAGAAGCAGAGAGGGUUGCCCAUCAACACAAAGCGUCUGAUCUCACAUGAAACUGACUAAAGGGUUCUCCAGCUUUUCAUCUUAACAAGAAACAUUAAGCACUGCAACAUCACGUCUACCUGCAAACACCAAGACAAUCCUAUUCCCUUCGGAUUUGAUUCCUUCAAAUUCCAACCCUUUGGUUUCACUAAGAAACACAGGAGGGAUAUGAGAGGUUGUUGCUGCUGCUGGAGAAUGUCCCGUGGAGGGCAUCUGCCACCUUUCCUUCCCCUGAGUGUCAUCCCUAAAACGCUCCUCAGCUGGAGGAGGAAAGAGGAAUGAAGAAUUUGACAUUACUUGCGGGAGUGAAAUCUAAAUUAACUGUGACUAUCAGCUAUGAAGGCCUCCAUAUGCUAUGCUUACUCACAUGAUUCUACUUACGUAUGUAGUCCUGGGAAGAUGAGAUACACCAGCUGGUUUUGGCCAAACAGGGGACCUCUGUCCAAAUAAUGACAGCAAGACUAGAAUUACGUGUCUCAGCUAUCGUAUUUUCUUUAAUUCAAUAAUUUAAUCUAUCAAAAGGUGUAAGUCUGGAGGUAUCAACAGAUGUUAAUACAUGACUCACAACUCCAAACUGGUGACCGUUUGAGUCCCCUGAAUUAUUAACCAGGUUAUCGCUGCCUGUAAUAUUAUUAACUAUUGAUAUUACUGCACGUGCUGAUAAUUCAGCUUUAUACCUCUGGAAGCUCUUAGAUGUAUCUAUUCCAAAUGCUGUAUGAAAACUCAGGCCCCACAGUAGAGGCUUCAAGUUAAUCAAGUCUGUGGAACUAAGUUCAGCAAAACAAACAGACCAAAUCCACUCACUGCAACAUGGAGGCCAAGCCAGAGACAGUAAGUGAAGAAGUCAGCCUGGUGUAUCUCAAAGCUGCCAGCAGCUUCGUGACCUUUCUCAAGUGCUGCAAGUUUCCUGUGAGAAUUUCCUCUUCUCAAACUACUGAGAGCCUCCCA
Molecule: long non-coding RNA, 2417 nt
Filed under: Gallus gallus (chicken)
Lineage: Eukaryota; Metazoa; Chordata; Aves; Galliformes; Phasianidae
Source: RNAcentral